GAGGAGAAAAUGGCAACCCUCUCCAAUAUUCUUGCCUGGGUAAUCCCAUGGACUAAGGAGCCUAGCGGGCUACAGUCCAUGGGGUCUCAAAGAGUCAGACACAACAGCGACUUAGCAUGUACUGACUUCUAGUUUCACUCCAAAGUGAUUGGAAAAGAUUGCAGCUGUCUGCAUUGUGGACCCGUUAACAUAGAUAGGAACAAUAUAAAUGCUGUUUUACACAUUUGCCUUUUACAUUAUAUGGAAAAUAAUAAAUAUAAACCAAGAGUUCUAUAAUAUUAACUUUUACAUUUAACUUUGUAGUUA
Long non-coding RNA from Bubalus bubalis (water buffalo), 306 nucleotides. RefSeq lists it as uncharacterized. NCBI's taxonomy places the organism in Eukaryota, Metazoa, Chordata, Mammalia, Artiodactyla, Bovidae. The transcript is spliced from 2 exons. The record is from RefSeq and is a predicted model, not a curated record.